UAGGUAAUAAGCUAUUCAUUAGAAUAUACUGUAUAUUAGACAUGUCAGGGGGGAUGGCAUGACGAGUCAUUGAGAGUAUACUAAACAACAAUGACAUAUUAAUGUCAUUAGAAACAGCCUUAUCAUCCUCGCCGUCAUCUUUUACCCCACCACAACCACCACGAUCACCAUCAGCAGCCAAUUGUACAACUCCUCAGAUAUGCGUGGACGAAGUACGCCAGAUCUUCCAGCGACCAGCACCAAGAUUUCAAUUUGCCAGGAAUUUUUCCUGCGAAGCCUCAGCUGGCGCUGUAAACUCCCGUAGAAGGUAAGUCCAUUAACAUUAUUUUCUAUGAAGUGACUUGCUAUGAAGUCUGAUAGCUGGCAUACAUUUUAACGUUAGUGGGACUGUCAUAAAAUAAAUGACCUGUAGAUGUCAAUGUAGGCUUAAGGUUAACGUUAAAUAUGUAGCAGCAGGCUAGAUAGUGUGUAACUAAAUUAUAUUCCGGUGCACAGUAGGCUAAAUGUCCUUGUAUGUUAAUGCUGAAAGUGUUCAAUAAACAGUAAAUCUUCACUCCCUUGUCCGGACAUCAGCCUUUUAGUGACAUCACAUAAGCGUAUUGCUCGAGCUAGCUCAAAGUUUUAAAUCACACUGAAAAAGACAUUUGAAAAAGACCAGUAGCCAAUGUUAACCUGAAGCUAGUACCUGCUAGCAAAGCAGUGACGCUAGUCUAGAACAACACAUAGGUUAUAGAUAUGAAUGAUCAGUUGCUUUAUUUACUUUUUUUGUAUCUUUCAACAUGUCUACAGAAGACGUGUCAGAAGUGAUGGAGCAUCAAGAGAAGAGAAGUAUGCUUGCUGCCAUCACCUGGCCAUGGCACAGUGCCAAGGGGACAGCUGAGGCUUCAACUAAGUCAGAAUGGCCAUAUCCUCUCCGGGGUCAAUUUCAAGAAAGACUGGGAUGAGGCACAGGUGUUGGCGCACAUCCGACAUCUUUUUCAGACAAAAAUGACCGAAUAUACACACUCUUAGGGAAGACAGGUACUUUGUAGCUGGAAGGGCUGUUGCUGUGUGCCUGGUCCAUGGUGGACCUCCACCAAAUUUAUUGUCAAACACAUUGUUUGAAAGCAUUGUCAAGGGCCCUGGGCAAACCUGUGUUGGAGGAUAUAGCUGAUUUUGAGCUACGUGAAAAAUUGAAAAGGGUUUCAGAGUCUGAAACCCUGGAGGACCUCAAAAAUGCCACAGGACCCCUACAGGACUACCUUGCCAAUGCAGGUUGUCUGAGACAGCUGACAAACAUUUCACACAAGGAAAGGCUGGUGGAGGAUGUUCUACUCUUCCAAGUCGUAAAUAGAGUCCGUGCACCAUUUGAAAGAUUCCGAGAAGGACUGAAGACCU
This is a long non-coding RNA of Alosa sapidissima (American shad), 1377 nucleotides long. RefSeq lists it as uncharacterized. The record is from RefSeq and is a predicted model, not a curated record. NCBI's taxonomy places the organism in Eukaryota, Metazoa, Chordata, Actinopteri, Clupeiformes, Clupeidae. The transcript has 4 exons.